UACAGAGGGUGCAAGCGUUGUUCGGAAUUAUUGGGCGUAAAGGGCGCGUAGGCGGUGCGGUAAGUCUGUAGUGAAAUCUCUGGGCUCAACUCAGAGUCUGCUGCAGAAACUGCCGUGCUUGAGUGUGGGAGAGGUGAGUGGAAUUCCCGGUGUAGCGGUGAAAUGCGUAGAUAGUCGGGAGGAACACCUGUGGCGAAAGCGGCUCACUGGACCACAACUGACGCUGAGGCGCGAAAGCUAGGGGAGCAAACAGG
This 254-nucleotide ribosomal RNA is filed under the name uncultured bacterium. RNAcentral's name for it is "partial 16S ribosomal RNA". It matches the Rfam family "Bacterial small subunit ribosomal RNA", at positions 524 to 776 of the family's 1533-position model. The record is from RNAcentral.